AAAAAUAUGGUUCACUGCGGUGGAUGGCGAGGGCAGAGACUCGAGAACUCAACCCUAGCUGUCAGCGGACCUCUUGGCUGUGCAGUUCGCUUGUUUUUAUUACUCUUUGGAGGCUGCCGGUUCCUUGGGUGGUGGCGCUUCAAAGGUGGGAGGAGAAACGCUGGGACAAGAGUGAUUCAGGUUCCCAGAAGGUUCCACCAGGCACGGCUAGACUUAAGAUCGGUUUUCCUCCCUUGCGCGUUGCUGGUUGCUUUUGCUUGAGGCUGUGAAGAAGACUGAAUUCUAGAGAAGUCGAAGCUGCUGGAGAAAUAAAAGCAGCUCUCCUUUGUGGGGUACCCGGGACCCAAUCUAAGAUCAGCUAAGCCCAGUCACUUUCUUCCUCUGGAGUAUUUCUCCUUGCAGGCCUUGCAUUCUCUCUACUGGGUCCUUGCUCACAAGAGCAAGCUGAACCCCCAGAGAAACUGCAAGAGCCCUGGAAAAACAGCCUUUCCGGUGUAAGGUCUUCCCUUUCUUCCAGCACUGGAUCCUGUAGUGAAGGGUCCCCCAUGCUAGACCUCUCUUUCCCUCUUCCUACGUUUAUGUGUCUGGCCCCUAGAUGAGUCCCAAGCCAUCCAGACUGAUAGCACUUGUCUUGUAGCUAUGUUGAUAAGAGGGGAAACGGGUGUGGUCCUGUUCAGACUCCUGGCAAUGCGCCCAUUAUCACAAAGGGGUGAAGAAGCAAACAGAAGCUGUCUUUGCAGGCAACAUUCUGUCAUAUCAAGAAAAAAAAAUACGU
RNAcentral lists this long non-coding RNA (775 nucleotides) under Rattus norvegicus (Norway rat). RNAcentral's name for it is "long non-coding RNA NONRATT015737". The record is from RNAcentral. Lineage: Eukaryota; Metazoa; Chordata; Mammalia; Rodentia; Muridae.